CUUGCUUGGGCCAAGCGGGCAGGGCUGCUCUUAGGAACAAAACCAUGCGAGUUCCAGGCAUGUCCAUACACGGGAGAGAGCCCAGGCUGUGGGACUGGCUGCAGCAUUUAUUCUGGUGUUAACAGCAGCGCUGUUAUUUUUCUUAGAAUGAAGAAUUAAAAUAAAGAAGAGAGGGAGAGAUCAUGUUAAAGCAUUUGUAUUAAUGUCACAACCGCCCUCUUAAACUGCAAAGUUCUUCUGUUACAGAGAAGGGAUGGAGCAAACAGAUAACAAACGGGGACGGAGGAUUUGCAAGCAGCUGUCUGAGAACAAGAGCUAAUAAACUGCAUAGAAAUAUGCAAGCAAAGAUGCAGCUUCCUUGAUCUUUAAUACCACCAGAAAGUCCUCUGGCUGUAAAUGGUCUGCAUUGGGUAACGGAGACAGGCACAGAUGCAAUCCUUCACUUUUUCCACAUCGGUUGCUGCAGUUCAAAGAGAAAAAUAGAAACACAGUGAGGCAGCAGAGGAAGAAAUGGAUCCAAUCUAAAGGGGUCCCCGUCUCCAAACAGGAGAAAUUCUGUUUCCCUUGAUGAGGGUGGGCACACCUCCUCUUAUGGAUGGUGGUUGUGAUUAACGGACUAAUAUUGCACGUGAUGCAAUGCCCUUAUACGUAACACAGGAAACAUAGCUGUGUAGCUAUGUGGCUGUGGCUCUGUGAAUCUGUAAAACAUUGUGAUGUGAGUGCAGUGAGAAGCUGAGAAGAAAAAGUGAGUAAAUUCUGUCUAGACAUCUAAUGUACAAUAAAUUACAUUGAAAUAUAUACGUAUCGUUAACGUAGCUUUGCCAGACUGGAAUGCAUCUUCACGCAGCAUGGCUUUAAGUAUAUUUUAGAGCACCGAUGUAUAAACUGAUGGCACUGGGAUGGGUAGAAAAUUAAAGGUCCUCUAGUAAUGCGGGUGUCAAGAUGCUACGUAAGCACAUUAUGUAUUGCUCUGAUGAAAUGUUGUGUUUUGUUAAGGAGGAGAUGAUGAGGUGACUUCAGCAGCUUCCACGGGAGCUUGGGAUGAGAGCUGUGUGCACCAGUGCUGAUGAGAAGGGUAACAGCAAUUGGGAAGCACCUGGGCACAUUAAUUGCAUAGGAGAGGGUAGUGGGUUGCAGUCAUCUGUUUAGAACAGUUUACCCUGAUGCGAAUAUGAAGUUCAUCCUCUGUUUUCUGAUGGGUUCAUAAUUGUCAGUGAGGGAUGCAGCUGUGUUUGUGUGCAUCCCCAAUGCCCAGAAAUCGCCUCUGCAGAUGUAAGCUGUCUGAUCAUACGUGCAUAUGUAAAAGGGCUUGAAUUGAAACGUGGGGUUUUAAUCAAACAAUGUUUUUUAGAAGUGACACUGAAAUCACUAGAAACAUUUUAACUCUGUACUAAAUGAAUUCUAUUAAUGCUUGGUAUAGGUUUGAGCUAUUGUUGCCAAUAACAAAGCAUCCAGUUUGUACAUUUGUGGUCCCACAGGCAGUAAAACGAACCACCAAAGCAAGGUUUGCAGUGCACAACAAGAAUGAGCAAGUUGCUGUUGUUACAGCCACACAAAUAAAGAGAUGCUGAGCAUCAUUCUUGGUGUAAAUCCCUCCCCAGUGAGACUCAAUCAGUGACUGAAAUGUUAAACCAGUACUCUGGGAGUGUAAUCUUGGGUACUGGGAGAGCUUGGUUAAUUGUGCAAAUUCUCCAGGCUAUUAAAAUCAAAUAUUCAGUAAAUUGCGUGGUGGCUAUGCAGCAAAACCAAGAGCCACAGACCCCUCCUCAGACCCACACGAGGCAAGACCAGAUAGGAAAGAGCAAACGCCUCCAAGAAGAUCA
RNAcentral lists this long non-coding RNA (1823 nucleotides) under Gallus gallus (chicken). Its description in RNAcentral is "lncRNA (ENSGALG00010019908.1)". Lineage: Eukaryota; Metazoa; Chordata; Aves; Galliformes; Phasianidae. The record is from RNAcentral.